UACGUAGGGUGCGAGCGUUGUCCGGAAUCAUUGGGCGUAAAGAGCUCGUAGGCGGCCUGUCGCGUCGGAUGUGAAAACCCGGGGCUCAACCUCGGGCCUGCAUUCGAUACGGGCAGGCUGGAGUUCGGCAGGGGAGACUGGAAUUCCUGGUGUAGCGGUGAAAUGCGCAGAUAUCAGGAGGAACACCGGUGGCGAAGGCGGGUCUCUGGGCUGAUACUGACGCUGAGGAGCGAAAGCGUGGGGAGCGAACAGG
This 253-nucleotide ribosomal RNA is filed under the name uncultured bacterium. RNAcentral's name for it is "partial 16S ribosomal RNA". It matches the Rfam family "Bacterial small subunit ribosomal RNA", at positions 524 to 776 of the family's 1533-position model. The record is from RNAcentral.